Molecule: long non-coding RNA, 484 nt
Organism: Rosa chinensis
Lineage: Eukaryota; Viridiplantae; Streptophyta; Magnoliopsida; Rosales; Rosaceae
Exons: 3
Source: RefSeq, a predicted model, not a curated record
UUUAACAGAUUCUUCUGUGAAGGUCAUAGCUGAAACUUGUUCUGGGUUAUGUAUGCUUGACCUAGUUAACCUGAAUAAGCCGACAGAUUCUACUUUAGGAUAUCUUGCAAAUGGUUGCUGAGCAAUUCAAACAAUAAAAUUUUGUCGCAAUUCAUUCAGGAACUUAAAAUUGGGAAAGUCUGCGUAUUCAAUUUUAGGUUGAAGAGAUAGUUGAGAAGCUUUGUGAAUUACCUUGAGCAAUGCAUGUCACCGGAAAGCUAAGAUGCUAAAGAAUUUGUUCAAGGAAUUUGCCAACUAUCAAUGAAGACUUCAUAAGAGGCGUGUUUUGGAACAAUAUGUGUAUCAGCUUUUGAGUUCCCAAGUAGAUAGGGCUUGUAGUUCCCAAGCAGAUAGGGCUUGUACACUAGAAUGCUUUUCUUGUUUUAAUAUUGGCUUGGAUGAUUAGGAAAUGCUUCCUUUUAACAUUUGAGUUUUAUAGUAUGGG